ACAAUGAUACUUCCGUAAUUCGCGGUCAGGCCAUAAGGAAGGCGCGAUGGGUAAAUUCCAAUGG
This 64-nucleotide non-coding RNA is filed under the name unclassified sequences. The record is from Rfam.